GACGAACGCUGGCGGCGUGCUUAACACAUGCAAGUCGAACGGAAAGGCCCUGCUUUUGUGGGGUGCUCGAGUGGCGAACGGGUGAGUAACACGUGAGUAACCUGCCCUUGACUUUGGGAUAACUUCAGGAAACUGGGGCUAAUACCGGAUAGGAGCUCCUGCUGCAUGGUGGGGGUUGGAAAGUUUCGGCGGUUGGGGAUGGACUCGCGGCUUAUCAGCUUGUUGGUGGGGUAGUGGCUUACCAAGGCUUUGACGGGUAGCCGGCCUGAGAGGGUGACCGGCCACAUUGGGACUGAGAUGCGGCCCAGACUCCUACGGGAGGCAGCAGUGGGGAAUGGUGCACAAUGGGCGGAAGCCUGAUGCAGCAACGCCGCGUGCGGGAUGACGGCCAUCGGGUUGUAAACCGCUUUCGCCUGUGACGAAGCGUGAGUGACGGUAAUGGGUAAAGAAGCACCGGCUAACUACGUG
Molecule: ribosomal RNA, 468 nt
Filed under: uncultured bacterium
Lineage: Bacteria
Description: partial 16S ribosomal RNA
Rfam family: Bacterial small subunit ribosomal RNA
Source: RNAcentral